AUACGGAGGGUGCAAGCGUUACUCGGAAUUACUGGGCGUAAAAGACGCGUAGGCGGUUUAGAAAGUCAGAUGUGAAAGCCUAUGGCUUAACCAUAGAACUGCAUUUGAAACUUCCAAACUAGAGUGGGGGAGAGGUCAGUGGAAUUAGUGGUGUAGGGGUAAAAUCCGUAGAGAUCACUAGGAAUACUCAUUGCGAAGGCGACUGACUGGAACUUAACUGACGCUGAGGCGUGAAAGCGUGGGGAGCAAACAGGAUUAGAUACCCCAGUAGUCC
This 274-nucleotide ribosomal RNA is filed under the name uncultured bacterium. RNAcentral's name for it is "partial 16S ribosomal RNA". It matches the Rfam family "Bacterial small subunit ribosomal RNA", at positions 523 to 796 of the family's 1533-position model. The record is from RNAcentral.